This 1018-nucleotide ribosomal RNA is filed under the name Botryosphaeria dothidea. RNAcentral describes it as "SSU rRNA". It matches the Rfam family "Eukaryotic small subunit ribosomal RNA", at positions 66 to 1092 of the family's 1831-position model. The record is from RNAcentral. Lineage: Eukaryota; Fungi; Ascomycota; Dothideomycetes; Botryosphaeriales; Botryosphaeriaceae.
UUAGCCAUCUAUCUUGUGAAACUGCGAAUGGCUCAUUAAAUCAGUUAUCGUUUAUUUGAUAGUACCUUACUACUUGGAUAACCGUGGUAAUUCUAGAGCUAAUACAUGCUAAAAACCCCGACUUCGGGAGGGGUGUAUUUAUUAGAUAAAAAACCAAUGCCCUUCGGGGCUCUUUGGUGAUUCAUGAUAACUUAACGAAUCGCAUGGCCUUGCGCCGGCGAUGGUUCAUUCAAAUUUCUGCCCUAUUAACUUUCGAUGGUAGGAUAGAGGCCUACCAUGGUAUCAAUGGGUAACGGGGAAUUAGGGUUCUAUUCCGGAGAGGGAGCCUGAGAAACGGCUACCACAUCCAAGGAAGGCAGCAGGCGCGCAAAUUACCCAAUCCCGACACGGGGAGGUAGUGACAAUAAAUACUGAUACAGGGCUCUUUUGGGUCUUGUAAUUGGAAUGAGUACAAUUUAAAUACCUUAACGAGGAACAAUUGGAGGGCAAGUCUGGUGCCAGCAGCCGCGGUAAUUCCAGCUCCAAUAGCGUAUAUUAAAGUUGUUGCAGUUAAAAAGCUCGUAGUUGAACCUUGGGCCUGGCUGGCCGGUCCGCCUCACCGCGUGUACUGGUCCGGCCGGGCCUUUCCUUCUGGGGAUCCGCAUGGCCUUCACUGGCUGUGUCGGGGAACCAGGACUUUUACUUUGAAAAAAUUAGAGUGUUCAAAGCAGGCCUUUGCUCGAAUACAUUAGCAUGGAAUAAUAGAAUAGGACGUGCGGUCCUAUUUUGUUGGUUUCUAGGACCGCCGUAAUGAUUAAUAGGGAUAGUCGGGGGCAUCAGUAUUCAAUUGUCAGAGGUGAAAUUCUUGGAUUUAUUGAAGACUAACUACUGCGAAAGCAUUUGCCAAGGAUGUUUUCAUUAAUCAGUGAACGAAAGUUAGGGGAUCGAAGACGAUCAGAUACCGUCGUAGUCUUAACCGUAAACUAUGCCGACUAGGGAUCGGGCGAUGUUAUUCUUUUGACUCGUUCGGCACCUUAAA